RNAcentral lists this ribosomal RNA (433 nucleotides) under uncultured bacterium. RNAcentral describes it as "partial 16S ribosomal RNA". It matches the Rfam family "Bacterial small subunit ribosomal RNA", at positions 29 to 507 of the family's 1533-position model. The record is from RNAcentral.
AACGAACGCUGGCGGCAUGCCUAACACAUGCAAGUCGAACGAGACCUUCGGGUCUAGUGGCGCACGGGUGCGUAACGCGUGGGAACCUGCCCUUAGGUUCGGAAUAACUCCCCGAAAGGGGUGCUAAUACCGGAUAAUGUCUUCGGACCAAAGAUUUAUCGCCUUUGGAUGAGCCCGCGUUGGAUUAGCUAGUUGGUAGGGUAAAAGCCUACCAAGGCGACGAUCCAUAGCUGGUCUGAGAGGAUGAUCAGCCACACUGGGACUGAGACACGGCCCAGACUCCUACGGGAGGCAGCAGUGGGGAAUAGUGGACAAUGGGCGAAAGCCUGAUCCAGCAAUGCCGCGUGAGUGAUGAAGGCCUUAGGGUUGUAAAGCUCUUUUACCCGGGAUGAUAAUGACAGUACCGGGAGAAUAGGCUCCGGCUAACUCCGUG